GGACAGGCGAAGAAACGAAGAAACGGUAUGAUUGCGGUUUGAAAAGGUUUAUCAUUUUGAGUUUGCCACCAGCUGGAUGUGAUGAGCAAGCGGACUAGCAGACGGACCUGCCUCCCUAGGGACACAUUUGUGGGCCCUUCAGGGAUUCUGAUGAAGAAAACUGAUGUUAGCACUUCUGAACCUUGCAGACUUUCUUCUUCUUCUUCUUCUCCAACCAACUCCUCAUACCAGAACGUUUCUGAGUUUUCCCACCGUGAA
Molecule: long non-coding RNA, 258 nt
Organism: Gigantopelta aegis
Lineage: Eukaryota; Metazoa; Mollusca; Gastropoda; Neomphalida; Peltospiridae
Exons: 3
Source: RefSeq, a predicted model, not a curated record